RNAcentral lists this small nuclear RNA (150 nucleotides) under Vicia faba (fava bean). RNAcentral describes it as "U4 spliceosomal RNA". It matches the Rfam family "U4 spliceosomal RNA". Rfam says of the family: U4 small nuclear RNA (U4 snRNA) is a component of the major U2-dependent spliceosome. The structure of U4 snRNA from yeast and human has been reported. U4 snRNA presents a k-turn RNA motif in the 5p-SL related to recognition of Snu13 protein. The record is from Rfam by way of RNAcentral. Lineage: Eukaryota; Viridiplantae; Streptophyta; Magnoliopsida; Fabales; Fabaceae.
AUCUUUGCGCUUGGGGCAAUGACGUAGCUAGUGAGGUUCUAACCGAGGCGCGUCUAUUGCUGGUUGAAAACUAUUUCUAAACCCCCUCUUAGGCUUGAGUUUAACUCAAGCCUUUGAGAAUUUCUGGAAGGACUCCUUCGGGGUAAAGUC